UCGACUCGAUGAGAGGCAUGACGGGUAAGGGGAGGGGCGGGGGGGUGGUCGGGAGUGAGUGGGCUGUAAGUGCACGGUGUGGGUUGGUUGCUGCGGCUGGGAGAACCGGCGGCUUAACCGUGGGCUUGCAGCCGAGACGGGCGGGCUAGAGUUCGGUAGGGGAGACUGGAAUUCCUGGUGUAGCGGUGAAAUGCGCAGAUAUCAGGAGGAACACCGGUGGCGAAGGCGGGUCUCUGGGCCGAUACUGACGCUGAGGAGCGAAAGCGUGGGGAGCGAACAGGAUUUGAUACCCUUGUAGUC
This 300-nucleotide ribosomal RNA is filed under the name uncultured Altererythrobacter sp. RNAcentral's name for it is "bacterial SSU rRNA". The stretch from base 52 to 300 matches the Rfam family "Bacterial small subunit ribosomal RNA", at positions 547 to 795 of the family's 1533-position model. Lineage: Bacteria; Pseudomonadati; Pseudomonadota; Alphaproteobacteria; Sphingomonadales; Erythrobacteraceae. The record is from RNAcentral.